GAUGAAGAACGUAGCGAAAUGCGAUACUUGGUGUGAAUUGCAGAAUCCCGUGAACCAUCGAGUCUUUGAACGCAAGUUGCGCCCGAAGCCUCGGCUAAGGGCACGUCUGCCUGGGCGUCACGCAUCGCGUCUCCCCCAAACCGCCAAGGCGGAAGGGAAGGAAGAUGGCUUCCCGUGCCUCACCCGGGCGCGGUUGGCCUAAAUUUGGAGCCCGCGGCACUUAGCUCUCGCGGCGAUAGGUGGUGAACAAGGCCUUGGCCGUGCAAACAACCCGCUGCGAAGCUCUAUGUCACGUGCGCUCGUCGGACCCUUUGAAGUUGCCUUCGGUGACUUAAAACCUUUGCGACCCCAGGUCAGGCGGGGCUACCCGCUGAAUUUAAGCAUAUCAUAAGCGGGG
This 397-nucleotide unclassified non-coding RNA is filed under the name soil metagenome. Its description in RNAcentral is "partial contains 5.8S ribosomal RNA, internal transcribed spacer 2, and large subunit ribosomal RNA". The stretch from base 1 to 120 matches the Rfam family "5.8S ribosomal RNA", at positions 35 to 154 of the family's 154-position model. The record is from RNAcentral.